RNAcentral lists this unclassified non-coding RNA (312 nucleotides) under Hevea brasiliensis (rubber tree). The record is from RNAcentral. Lineage: Eukaryota; Viridiplantae; Streptophyta; Magnoliopsida; Malpighiales; Euphorbiaceae.
CCAAAACUGCAAGCAACAUCACUAGCCCCAUUUUGCUGGUAAUAACUGUUGAAUGCAUAGGAUGCAUGUGAAAUUAGAGUAUCUGGCUCAAAACAAGGCUGGCGCUGGCUAGGCUGAAUGGCAGAACAAUCCACAUUUCCAGGACCACAUGCCCAAUCUAAGGCACUCUGCAAGUCAAGUUGAGAAACAUUACUUGAAGCAAUGCACCAUGUUGUUCCAUUGAAACCAGUAAAAGUGGAAUUUUUGGGAACAUCAACAACGCCUCUUCCUUUAAAAUCCAAAUUGUAAACACUUGUCUGGUCUGGAUAAAAU